RNAcentral lists this ribosomal RNA (390 nucleotides) under uncultured eukaryote. Its description in RNAcentral is "partial 18S ribosomal RNA". It matches the Rfam family "Eukaryotic small subunit ribosomal RNA", at positions 592 to 976 of the family's 1831-position model. The record is from RNAcentral.
CACUAGCGUAUAUUAAAGUUGCUGCAGUUAAAAAGCUCGUAGUUGGAUUUCUGGUAUGGCGCGCCUGGUCCACCCCGUAAAGGUGUGUGAGUACCGGCGCGCGCCUACCGUCCUUCCUCGGAGCACGCCCACCCUUCACUGGGUCGGGCGCUUGCGACGUGGAUCAUUUACUUUGAAAAAAUUAGAGUGUUCAAAGCAGGCUUACGCCGUGAAUACAUUAGCAUGGAAUAAUAAGAUAGGACUUUGGUUUUAUUUUGUUGGUUUCUAGGACUGAAGUAAUGAUUGAUAGGGAUAGUUGGGGGUGCUAGUAUUUAGCGGCCAGAGGUGAAAUUCUUGGAUUCGCUAAAGACUAACUAAUGCGAAAGCAUUCACCAAGGAUGUCUUCGUUAA